UAUACCUACAGAAAAUAGCCAAAUCUGAGCAUCAGAAGAUGCUAGUCUACCUACCGCCCAGUCUAUCUGAUGCGUGAUCUCUUUAGUUCUGAGA
This is a small nucleolar RNA of Capra hircus (goat), 94 nucleotides long. The record is from Ensembl. NCBI's taxonomy places the organism in Eukaryota, Metazoa, Chordata, Mammalia, Artiodactyla, Bovidae.